AGAGCGAACGCUGGCGGCAGGCCUAAUACAUGCAAGUCGAGCGGGUGUAGCAAUACACCAGCGGCAGACGGGAGAGUAACACGUGGGAACGUGCCCUUCAGUUCGGAACAACCCAGGGAAACUUGGGCUAAUACCGGAUACGUCCGUAAGGAGAAAGAUUUAUCGCUGAAGGAUCGGCCCGCGUCUGAUUAGCUUGUUGGUGGGGUAAUGGCUCACCAAGGCGACGAUCAGUAGCUGGUCUGAGAGGAUGAUCAGCCUCACUGGGACUGAGACACGGCCCAGACUCCUACGGGAGGCAGCAGUAGGGAAUAUUGGACAAUGGGCGCAAGCCUGAUCCAGCCAUGCCGCGUGGGUGAUGAAGGCCCCAGGGUUGUAAAGCCCUUUCGGCGGGAAGAUAAUGACGGUACCGCAGAAGAAGCCCGGCUAACUUCGUGCCAGUAGCCGC
Molecule: ribosomal RNA, 445 nt
Filed under: uncultured bacterium
Lineage: Bacteria
Description: SSU rRNA
Rfam family: Bacterial small subunit ribosomal RNA
Source: RNAcentral